Caretta caretta (loggerhead turtle) is the source of this 3209-nucleotide long non-coding RNA. RefSeq lists it as uncharacterized. The record is from RefSeq and is a predicted model, not a curated record. Lineage: Eukaryota; Metazoa; Chordata; Testudines; Cheloniidae.
CCUUUAAAUCCCUCCUGGCCAGAGGAAAAAACCCUUUCACCUGUAAAGGGUUAAGAAGCUAGGAUAACCUCGCUGGCACCUGACCAAAAUGACCAAUGAGGAGACAAGAUACUUUCAAAGCUGGAGUGGGGAGACAAGCAAAGUUUCUCUCUGUGGGAGGCUUUUGCUGGGAACAGUAAAGGAAUGGAGUCUUAGAACUUAAAAAAGCUGAUGAGCCCUUCCCCAAACAUGGAGGAUCUCAGGAGAUUCAUUGGAGAAUGGGGCCUCAUGGGCUCCUUUAGAGCUGUGCUACAAGGGACUCCUUCCCAGACAUGCUGUUCCUGUGACUACUGAACUGUUCUGCACAGAAGAGAUGAACCUAGCACUAUAUGGUCUUUACCCUGAUUGAAGAGCUUUGGUACUACAACAAUAGUGGCCAUUAUCUUUGAAAACUUGUGGCAAUCGGGGGAGGUCCCUGACAAUUGGAAAAAAGACAAAUAUAGUGCCCAUCUUUUAAAAAGGGAAGAAGGAGAAUCCGGGGAACUACAGACUGGUCAGCAUCACCUCAGUCCCCCAAAAAAUCAUAGAGCACAUCCUCAAGGAAUCUAUUUUGAAGCACUUGGAGGACAGGCAAGUGACCAGGAACAGUCAACAUGGGUUCACCAGUGGCAAGUCAUGCCUGACCAACCUGUCUGCCUUCUAUGAUGAGAUAACUGGCUCUGUGGAUAUGGGGAAAGCAGUGGACGUGAUAUAUCUUGAGACUUUAGCAAAGCUUUUGAUACGGUCUCCCACAGUAUUCUUGCCAGCAAGUUAAAAAAGUAUAGAUUGGAUGAAUGGACUAUAAAGUGAAUACAAAACUGGUUAGAUUGUUGGGGUCAAUGGGUAAUGAUCAAUUGUUUGAUGUCUAGUUGGCAGCUGGUGUCAAGCAGAGUGCCCCAGAGGUCUGUCCUGGAGCAGGUUUUGUUCAGAAUCUUCAUUAAUGAUCUGGAUGAUGGGAUGGAUUGCACCCUCAGCAAGUUUGCGGAUGACCCUAAGAUGGGGGGAGAGGUAGAUAUGCUGGAGGGUAGAUUUAGGGUCCAGAGUGACCUAGAUAAAUUGGAGGAUUGGGCCAAAAGAAAUCUGAUGAGGUUCAACAAGGACAAGUGCAGAGUCCUGCACUAAGGAUGGAAGAAUCCCAUGCACUCCUACUGGCUGCGGACCGACUGGCUAAGAGGCAGUUCUGCAGAAACGGACCUGGGGAUUACAGUGGAUGAGAAGCUGGAUAUGAGUCAACAGUGUGCCCUUGUUACCAAGAAGGGUCCCGGCAUGUUGGGCUGCAUUAGUAGGAGCAUUGCCAGCAGAUCAAGGGAAGUGAUUAUUCCCUUCUAUUCGGCACAGGUGAGGCCACACCUGGAGUACUGUGUCCAGUUUUGGGCCCCUCAGUACAGAAAGGAUGUGGACAAAUUGGAGAGGGGAACUGGGCUGAGUUUCCCCUUAACUCCUACCAUAGCAUCCAGCAUAUGGUCUCCCAGCAUCUUACAUAGGGCACCAUAAGGGGCGGGAGCUGAGAGAGACAGUCAGUCCAGGCUCCCUCAAAAACUCCUACAGACCCUGCAUAUCCAUUCGCCCUCUGGGGGGAAUAACAUGGGCCAGAGUUUCCCCAAUGUCUGGGAUGGAAGAGAGAGCCAAACUCUAACCAUAAUUCCCUGGAUCCAGCAUGUGGUGCCAGCAGCUCAUUCCUGACUCCAGGGUCACCACUUGGGACAGAAGCCAUCCACCUUCCAAGAUGGGAAAAAUACAGAGCUAGGUUAGCUCCUCCAAACCACUCCCUCAAUCCAGCACAUGCUGCCAGCAGACAAUUACCCCUGCAUCCUGGGAUAAGCACUCUUCUCCUGAUGCCUGCUAAUGCAUUUAGUUCUCUAGCUUAAGCAGUAGCAGUAUGUGCUGAAUGCUCAGGGUUCAAACCCUGCUGUGGUUGUAUGAUGGGGAGGUUGUUAUAGGUUCACAUAGUAGAAUUUUUUUUUACCUUUCCCAUUAAAAAAUAGGAAAUUAAUUAUAAAAAUUAUGUUAAAGAGAUGUUAUUUAGAUACAAAAUCAAGCACUUAAAAUUAGCAAAUAGAUUUACAGUUGUUAGUUAAGCUCAGCCCUAUUGUGCAUAUGCUUUAUGAUUUUAAUUAUAUGAUUAUAGACUAGUUUUUUCUACAGAAUCGCUGCCUCAUUUGUGCACAGGCUGAAAGCACAGAGGGGCUAAAUUAAGGUUACACAAACAAUUGUAAAUCUGAAAUUUCCUAUCUUCCAAGUGCUUGACUGUGCAACCUAAAAUGUUCUUUGAAUGUAGUUUUUUGAUAUAGUAAUAAUUAUAAUAAUAAAUACCUAAGAAAUUAUUAGAGACUUUCUUAUAUACAUAAAAUCUAUCCUAGAAAAUCCUUUGUCCACUAUUUGACAGAGAUAAUUGAAUGAUCUAAAUAAUCCAUUUCAGCAAGGCACUGGAUGAUCACCUAAAAGGCCCUGAAGACUAUGUACCAUACCCAGCUCCCACUGAAGUCAGUGGAAAGACUUCCAUUGAUUUCAAUGGAAUUUGGAAUAUACCCUACCUAAGGGUGUAAAGAUUCAUAAAACUGGUAGUGUGUGUAUUGAUACAUAUUCACAUAUAUAAAAUAUAUCAGAUAUUGAAAGGUAAUGUGUAAUAAAAUUGUAUGUAAAAAAAUAAGAAAUGUACAAUAUAUAGGACCAGGAAAUGCAUAUCUACAUCCAAGCUUAUCAGUGUGAGGGAGGAAAAAGGAGGGAGAAUAGCCAUAUUCUGGCUUUGGCUAUGAAUGCGUUUACUGAAGUCAACAGGGACUUGUAACAUGCAUCUGAAACUAGAAUAUGGCCUGCUUUACUAUAUGAAUUAUGCAUACAUGCAGAAAUAUCAAUUAUAAUCAGUAAUACACUGUAUCUUGUAUUGUUUUAUAUAUUUAUAAGCAAUAAGCAACAGUGUGUAAUAUGUCACAAACAUUUUAUGGUACAUUUUGCAUUCUACUGCAAAGCUCUCGUGUUGUCAUAUUACACAUUUAGCUUCUAAGACUGAUUGAUUGCUUCAGUAAGGAGUGUAUAUGGUAUUCCACUUCUUAUCUGAGUCAAUGUUUUUCUCAAUACUGUGAAGUAAAUUAAAAUAAAGUGUUUAAAUCUACUGCUUAUGAUAAAGAAGACUAAAUCUCAUUCUAAUAAAUGUGAAAUACAUCUUGUCAUGUUCCUUUCACUUUGCAGAA